CUACGGGCCGCUGCAGUGAGGAAUAUUGCACAAUGGGGGGAACCCUGAUGCAGCAACGCCGCGUGGAGGAUGACGCAUUUCGGUGUGUAAACUCCUUUUAUAUGUCAAGAAAAUGACGGUAGCAUAUGAAUAAGCACCGGCUAACUCCGUGCCAGCGGCCGCGGUAAUACGGAGGGUGCAAGCGUUACUCGGAAUCACUGGGCGUAAAGGACGCGUAGGCGGGUUGGAAAGCCAGGUGUGAAAUCCUACAGCUUAACUGUAGAACUGCACUUGAAACUUCUAAUCUAGAGUAUGGGAGGGGGAGAUGGAAUUAGUGGUGUAGGGGUAAAAUCCGUAGAUAUCACUAGGAAUACCUAAAGCGAAGGCGAUCUCCUGGAACAUUACUGACGCUAAGGCGUGAAAGCGUGGGGAGCAAACAGGAUUAGAUACCCUAGUAGUC
Molecule: ribosomal RNA, 439 nt
Filed under: uncultured bacterium
Lineage: Bacteria
Description: partial 16S ribosomal RNA
Rfam family: Bacterial small subunit ribosomal RNA
Source: RNAcentral